RNAcentral lists this ribosomal RNA (346 nucleotides) under Flavobacteriales bacterium CG_4_10_14_0_2_um_filter_32_8. RNAcentral describes it as "bacterial SSU rRNA". It matches the Rfam family "Bacterial small subunit ribosomal RNA", at positions 1 to 342 of the family's 1533-position model. The record is from RNAcentral. Lineage: Bacteria; Pseudomonadati; Bacteroidota; Flavobacteriia; Flavobacteriales.
UUACAACGGAGAGUUUGAUCCUGGCUCAGGAUGAACGCUAGCGGCAGGCUUAACACAUGCAAGUCGAACGGUAACAGGUGUAGCAAUACAUGCUGACGAGUGGCGCACGGGUGCGUAACACGUAUGCAACUUACCCCUAACUGGAGAAUAGCCUUUAGAAAUGAAGAUUAAUACUCCAUAAUAUUACAGAGUGGCAUCACUUUGUUCUUAAAACUCCGGUGGUUAGGGAUAGGCAUGCGGCCUAUUAGUUAGUUGGUGAGGUAAUGGCUCACCAAGACUUCGAUAGGUAGGGGGCCUGAGAGGGUUAUCCCCCACACUGGUACUGAGACACGGACCAGACUCCUAC